This 16-nucleotide small RNA is filed under the name Arabidopsis thaliana (thale cress). RNAcentral describes it as "ATSL099940". Lineage: Eukaryota; Viridiplantae; Streptophyta; Magnoliopsida; Brassicales; Brassicaceae. The record is from RNAcentral.
AAGAAAAGACAAAAAC